RNAcentral lists this long non-coding RNA (4376 nucleotides) under Fragaria vesca (wild strawberry). RNAcentral's name for it is "long non-coding RNA (FVES_LNC003811)". The record is from RNAcentral. Lineage: Eukaryota; Viridiplantae; Streptophyta; Magnoliopsida; Rosales; Rosaceae.
AGGUCCCAAGCCAUAGAUCAAACCGUCUUUGCUGGAAGCAAGAUGCUGAUUGCAAAGAAACCGACGGAAGGGCUGGCGGCGCCACCGCGGCCUCCUCUCUUGCAAGUUCAAGUACUCGUAUUCCCUGACGGGUUCCCCAACAGGUACCGGACAGGUAGGUUUAUUCAAAUUGAUUUUAGUACCACCGAUGAGGUAUAAUUUGGAGUUGAGGACCACAAGGCUGGCUAAAAAACGCUGGUAACCUAACUCGGGAAAAUCAAGUUGACGGAAGACUAUCUCAUCAUCAUCUUCUUGCUGUUGUUCCUGGCGUUUAUCCUCGAUUACAAACCAUAUCGACGAUUUGCCCUCGCGAACCCUAAUGUGUAAGGGUCUGUCCCUCGUUGUGGUUAUCAUUCUCCGACUGCAAUGGUAUCAGAUUAUCAACCCUAGAUUUUUCUCUUUCUGCUGCUAUUAUGUACAAGCAUACCAGGCUCCCUCGAUUUCUCUCCUUGUUUUCCUAUGGAUUAGCUAUAAACCUUUUAUUAGUUUUCCCUUUUCCUUCCACUCGGCCUAAAAUGUUGCUACAUUUAAUUUGAUCCUCUACUAUCAGGCCCCAAAAUCUUUAGCCUUCCUUUCUCAGUGCAAGUUACGCACAAUUAUGCUCACAUCUGCUGUAUUAAAGUAAAUGUAAAUUAGAUAACAAAAUCAAAUAAAACGGCAAACAAUAUAUAUUUCAGAUUCAAUGUUUUUUUUUUGAGAAGAUAUUUCAGAUUCAAUGUAAUGCAUGUAAAGGUUGGAGAAUCAGCUCCCAUCCGUAGCUUAACACAUUGAAUGCUUUUGUAGGUACUUACCCGUUGAGAUGAGGUAAACUAGAAAAUGUGAUAAAGAAUUGAGAACCAAUUUAUUGCCAAUUCCUCGCCAUAGUUUGCCAUUGACACUAACUAGGGUUCAUCAUGCUUCCCUAUGUUUGCAUCGGUAACUUUAACAAAUGUAUAUUCGGAUGGAGAAGCAUACUCUCCACAUGUGCUGCCCAGCAAUCAAAAGUCCAUAAUUAAUCACAAAUCACAAGUCCAGCCAUCAUUCAAAAGAAAAAUUGUAUUUGAUAGGACAUCAACAAAUUUACUCGUAAUAUCAAACACCCACACACCAGGCUUCUCCCUAAAGUCUUCAAUGCGGUGCCUUGACCCGUACGCUAUUAAGUACGAGUCUCCGGAUCGAAAUCACCAUUCCAGUUGCCCAAUCACCCCAGAAAUGUUUAUAGAGGCAGUCCCACUUUUUCUCUUUCAUAUCAUAACUAAACAAAUAGUGCUGGCAAUUAGGGGUGAUACCUCCGUGGGAAUAAGCAUAAAUCUUGUUGUUAGAAAUAGCAAGCGGUUGUGGGACGUGACCAUCAAUGAUUUUAGGCAGCGGUUCAGUAGCGACGACACCACCUCUGAGGCUAGAAGGAUUCAUUAUGUAAGAUUGAUGUCCAAAGCCAUAAAUCAAACGGAUGCAAAUUUGCUCCCCAACCAAACUUACCCACCCUCAUACCCACCCAUGUAGAUGAAUGUCAUGUGUCUUAUGUAGUUAACUAUGGUUAGAGUGAUUAAAGGAUAAGACACAUAGCAUUCAUCUACAUGGGUGGGUAUGAGGGUGGGUAAGUUUGGAUGGGGAGCAAAUUUGCAUCCUAAAUGAAACCAUCUUUGGAGGAAGCCAUAUGCUGAGUGUAAUUGUGAUAUUGACCAAAGGACUGGCGACGCCAACGCAACCUCCUUUCUUGCAAAUCCAAGAACUCGUAUUCCCUGGCCGGUUCCGGGUGAAAGAACUGAAUUUCCCCUUCCGGUACCUGACGGUAAUUAAUUUUAACACCACCGAGGAGGUAUUUGGAGUUGAUGAAGUCGACGGAAUUUAACUGCAUGGGCAGCGAUGGUAAUUUAACUGCGGAAGAUCAAGUCGACGGAAGAUUAUAUCAUCAACAGCAGCCUCAUCAGAUCCAAUUUUGGCCUUCUCAGAUUCUUCUUGCUGGUGUUGUUGCUGGCGUCCAUCCUCGAUUACAAACCAUAACGACGAAUCGCCCUCGCAAACCUGAACGUAAAAGGGCUUGUCCCUCGCAUUCUUAUCCCUUGUGAUUGCCACCGUUGUCUCUUUGAUUCCCAUUCUUUAACCUUUUUUUUUCCCGAUGAACCUGUUUGACCAAAAGCAAUAUUAACAUGUAAAUUGCAAAUUUCCAAAACCUACAUCUUCAAAGUCUUCAUCGACACAAAAGAGAAUAGUGCGCACACAAGUAACGAAAUAGCCAAUUAGCCGAAUACAAAAUCGAAAAACAGAGACUGAUGCAUGAGAUUAAAGCCAAAUCAAAUUCACAACAACACUAUCAGAGCAAUCUAGAAGAUCAACAGCAAACAUCUGAAGCUAAUCAAUAUGAAAUUGUGAGAAAAUAACAAAAGGGAAAGAGAAAUCGGAACUGGAGGAAGCGCUAAACCUUAGAGACAGAGGAGAACCUAUCACAUGCGAUGGAGGCGUAUUGAGGUGUAUAGAAACUUAUAGAUGAUAUUCCCUUAACUUAGCCUAAUGUUUUUAUUUUUUCGGCAAAUGCAUUUUACACAUGCACAUUGUCCUUUUCUUGCUAUGUGUGUCAAAUGUAGCACAUAUUAGUUCUUUUCACAAUGAGCACCCAGAUUGAUAAAAAGACAAGGAAGGCAAUAUAGUGGCUAAAGAUAACAGGAAAAGAAAAUAUCAAUACCUUUUGAGUUUUGACACCAUAAUUUAUUUGCAGUCGAACUAAAGUAUGGCUGAUAAUUCAAGCAUCUGACUGCUAAAUCCAAAUCAUCACCACAUUGGUCCAGUGCUUUCUCCAGAAGCAGGAUAUUGAUACAAUACAUAAUAAUUCAAUUUAUAGUGUUAACUAGAAAGGUAUGACACAGAUCGACAGGAACCAAAACUGAAGGAUGAAAAUCUGUGAAUAGAAAAGCAAAGAAGCACAUCUGCACAUAUACACAGAAAAAAUGACAUGUGAUUUUCUAAAUUAUCAUAGCGCUACCUCCUCCUCAAAAACUCAAAAUACGUGGCAAUCAGUCACAGAAGAAAGAAAAAGAAAUUUAUUCAACACAAUCACAGUCUCCCUUUCUCAAGCUGCAAAUCACUUCACGUAAACACAAGAUCGAUAAUCAAAAUACUAACGAUACAAAAUAGUUAUAAACUUAUUCACUGGUUUUGUCUGGAUCAAAGCCUCAAAACUACUAAAAAGAAACAUAAUAAUAAUAAUAUUGAUCAUCCUUUGAAGCGGCCGCUUUCUGGUGACUUUUCUUUAUUCUUCUCUUCCUUGUUCAGAUUCCCUGUUAAUGACAAUAAGCAGUCAGACUCCAAGUUUGCAAUGUCAGAGCCAGCUAGAUAUGCAACCUAAAAGCCUAUAGUUGCAGAAGCUAUGAGAUACUUAUCAAUCAAAGAGCAAUAGCUAAAGGUAAAAGAAACUUACAAUCCAACAGUGCAACCGAGUAUUUUGUUGUUGCCGCCAUUGAGAGUCUUGACUUUAUUUGAGAGUUGUCGAGCAACAAAGGGUUGAUCCGUGGAGGUAGGCGCCUGCAAUGUGAAUUUGUGGCAAUGAAGCGUAUAACUCUCAUUAUAACUCUCAUCAUCUGAUUCCUCCCAAAUCAGAGCAAACCUGUGCUUUCCAAUCUCGAACAAGCGUGGUAGGUAGUACACGUGAACGUAUCCCAAUUCCUCAUAGACCCAGUCUGGGAUAACCGGAAGUGCCUCAUCAAGGCCCUUAACUGGUUCAUCAAGCCAUUGACGCCGGUGAAUAUCAAAAACCCAUACACCAGGCCUGUCCUUCUUCCAUUCAAUGGGAUGUCUUGAGCCAUAUGCUAUUAAGUAGGAGUCUCCGGAAAGCACUACUCCAGUGGCCCAGUCACCCCAGAAAUUUUUAAAGAUGCACUCCCACGUUUUCUCUUCCAUAUCAUAACUAAACAAAUAAUGCUGGAGAUUAGGGUAGACACCUCCGCGGGAAUAGGCAUAAAUCUUGUUCUUAGAAAUAGCAAGCGGCUGUGGGGAAUGACCAUAUUCUCCAGGGAUUUUAGGCAGGUCAGUGUGGAUGACACCAAAGCGGAGAGCAGGAUCGAUAACGUGAGAUUGAGGUCCCAAGCCAUAGAUCAAACCGUCUUUGCAGGAAGCAAGGUGCUGAGUGUAAAGAAAUCGACGAAAGGGCUGGCGGCGCCACCGCAGCCUCCUCUCUUGCAAGUUCAAGUACUCGUAUUCCCUGACGGGUUCCCCAACAGGUACCGGACAGGUAGGUUUAUUCAAAUUGAUUUUAGUACCACCGAUCAGGUACAAUUUGGAGUUGAGGACCACAAGGCUGUCAAGAAAGCGCUGGUAACCUAACUGGGGAAGAUCAAGUCGACGGAAGAUUAUUUCAUCAUCUU